This 253-nucleotide ribosomal RNA is filed under the name uncultured bacterium. Its description in RNAcentral is "partial 16S ribosomal RNA". It matches the Rfam family "Bacterial small subunit ribosomal RNA", at positions 524 to 776 of the family's 1533-position model. The record is from RNAcentral.
UACGUAGGCAGCAAGCGUUGUUCGGAAUUACUGGGCGUAAAGAGUGUGUAGGUGGUGUCGUAAGUUUGGUGUAAAAUCUCCCGGCUUAACUGGGAGGGUGCGCCGAAGACUGCGAUGCUGGAGUAUGGGAGAGGAAAGCGGAAUUCCUGGUGUAGCGGUGAAAUGCGUAGAUAUCAGGAGGAACACCUGCGGUGUAGACGGCUUUCUGGACCAUUACUGACACUGAGACACGAAAGCGUGGGUAGCAAACAGG